This 507-nucleotide long non-coding RNA is filed under the name Physcomitrium patens. Its description in RNAcentral is "long non-coding RNA (PPAT_LNC001786)". Lineage: Eukaryota; Viridiplantae; Streptophyta; Bryopsida; Funariales; Funariaceae. The record is from RNAcentral.
CCUAGUUGUGGAAGAUAAAAAAUAAUUGCAACAAAAGGUCCUAACAAUCCAAUAGGAUUAUAGAAAAUUUACAAUUAAAUUUUAACAAUCAUAAUCAAACAUUAAGCAAGCUCAAUUAAAUUUUAUUGAAGUUAUAAAAGAAAUACAAGGAAAUUCUAAAGAAAUAUAAAAGAAUAUUAAAGAAAACUUAGUCAAAACCUAACAAAAAUCUAAUAGAAUCUUGAAUUCUAACCAAACCCUAAUCCUAAUCUAACCUUAAUCAAACCUUAAACAAAUCCUAAAUCCUAAACUAAAUCCUAAUAAAAUCUUAAUCAAAUCCUAAACCUUAAAUCAAUCCCUAACCAAAUCCUAAAUUAAAUUCUAAAUCCUAAUUCAAACCCUAAAUCCUAAAUCAAAUCCUAAACCAAAUCCUAAAUCCUAAACCCUAAACCAAAUCCUAAAUCAUACCCUAAUUCUAACAAAUCCUAAACCCUAAACCAAAUCCUAACCAAACUCUAACCUUAAAUU